CUUUAGGUGUCCUAGAGGUGUAGAAGCCUCUAAGGGUAGGUCUGUUCGCCCUUUAAAAUCUAACAUGAGCUGAGUUCAGAACGGCGUGAGCUAGUUCAGUUUCUAUCCUCUUUUAAAAAUAAGCUAAUUUUGUACGAAAGGACUUUUUCGCUAAAGUAAUGCUUUGGCCCAGCCCUAUAAUUACACAAAUAUUGGUACAUGACGAGCUGAUCAACUCAUAAAAAGGGCUG
This 230-nucleotide ribosomal RNA is filed under the name Mytilus edulis (blue mussel). RNAcentral describes it as "partial 16S ribosomal RNA". The stretch from base 1 to 111 matches the Rfam family "Bacterial large subunit ribosomal RNA", at positions 2536 to 2646 of the family's 2925-position model. The record is from RNAcentral. Lineage: Eukaryota; Metazoa; Mollusca; Bivalvia; Mytilida; Mytilidae.